Molecule: non-coding RNA, 45 nt
Filed under: Echinostoma caproni
Lineage: Eukaryota; Metazoa; Platyhelminthes; Trematoda; Plagiorchiida; Echinostomatidae
Source: RNAcentral
GCAUUGCUGACGAGUCCCAAACAAGAGGAAGCAAGUGUCUAAUAC